RNAcentral lists this ribosomal RNA (373 nucleotides) under uncultured bacterium. Its description in RNAcentral is "bacterial SSU rRNA". It matches the Rfam family "Bacterial small subunit ribosomal RNA", at positions 525 to 896 of the family's 1533-position model. The record is from RNAcentral.
ACAUAGGGUGCAAGCGUUGUCCGGAAUUAUUGGGCGUAAAGAGCUCGUAGGUCGUUUGUUACGUCGGAUGUGAAAACCUGAGGCUCAACCUCAGGCCUGCAUUCGAUACGGUCAAGCUAGAGUUUGGUAGGGGAGACUGGAAUUCCUGGUGUAGCGGUGGAAUGCGCAGAUAUCAGGAGGAACACCGAUGGCGAAGGCAGGUCUCUGGGCCAAUACUGACACUGAGGAGCGAAAGCGUGGGGAGCGAACAGGAUUAGAUACCCUGGUAGUCCACGCCGUAAACGGUGGGCGCUAGUUGUGCGAACCUUCCACGGUUUGUGCGACGCAGCUAACGCAUUAAGCGCCCCGCCUGGGGAGUACGAUCGCAAGAUUA